CCUACGGGAGGCUGCAGUAGGGAAUCUUCCACAAUGGGCGAAAGCCUGAUGGAGCAACGCCGCGUGGGUGAAGAAGGUCUUCGGAUCGUAAAACCCUGUUGUUAGAGAAGAAAGUGCGUGAGAGUAACUGUUCACGUUUCGACGGUAUCUAACCAGAAAGCCACGGCUAACUACGUGCCAGCAGCCGCGGUAAUACGUAGGUUGCAAGCGAUAUCCGGAUUUAUUGGGCGUAAAGGGAACGCAGGCGGUCUUUUAAGUCUGAUGUGAAAGCCUUCGGCUUAACCGGAGUAGUGCAUUGGAAACUGGGAGACUGGAGUGCAGAAGAGGAGAGUGGAACUCCAUGUGUAGCGGUGAAAUGCGUAGAUAUAUGGAAGAACACCAGUGGCGAAAGCGGCUCUCUGGUCUGUAACUGACGCUGAGGUUCGAAAGCGUGGGUAGCAAACAGGAUUAGAUACCCUUGUAGUC
Molecule: ribosomal RNA, 465 nt
Filed under: uncultured bacterium
Lineage: Bacteria
Description: partial 16S ribosomal RNA
Rfam family: Bacterial small subunit ribosomal RNA
Source: RNAcentral